Molecule: ribosomal RNA, 516 nt
Filed under: uncultured bacterium
Lineage: Bacteria
Description: partial 16S ribosomal RNA
Rfam family: Bacterial small subunit ribosomal RNA
Source: RNAcentral
GAUGAACGCUGGCGGCGUGCCUAAUACAUGCAAGUCGAACGCAUUGAGAAAAGUGCUUGCACUUUUCAAUUUGAGUGGCGAACGGGUGAGUAACACGUGGGCAACCUACCUGAUAGCGGGGGAUAACGAGUGGAAACAUUCGCUAAUACCGCAUAACAAUAGAGAAGGCAUCUUCUUUAUUUAAAAGGCGCUUUCAAGCGUCACUAUCAGAUGGGCCCGCGGUGCAUUAGUUAGUUGGUGGGGUGAAGGCCUACCAAGACGAUGAUGCAUAGCCGAGUUGAGGGACUGAUCGGCCACAUUGGGACUGGGAAACGGCCCAAACUCCUACGGGAGGCUGCAGUAGGGAAUCUUCCACAAUGGACGAAAGUCUGAUGGAGCAACGCCGCGUGUGUGAUGAAGGCUUUCGGGUCGUAAAGCACUGUUGUAUGGGAAGAAAUGCUAGGCUAGGAAAUGAGCUUAGUUUGACGGUACCAUACCAGAAAGGGACGGCUAAAUACGUGCCAGCCGCCGCCGUAA